GGCUCCUUGGUCAAGCGGUUAAGACACCGCCCUUUCACGGCGGUAACACGGGGUCGAGGCCCGUAGGAGUCA
RNAcentral lists this transfer RNA (72 nucleotides) under Staphylococcus aureus. RNAcentral describes it as "tRNA-Glu". It matches the Rfam family "tRNA". Rfam says of the family: Transfer RNA (tRNA) molecules are approximately 80 nucleotides in length. Their secondary structure includes four short double-helical elements and three loops (D, anti-codon, and T loops). Lineage: Bacteria; Bacillati; Bacillota; Bacilli; Caryophanales; Staphylococcaceae. The record is from RNAcentral.